This 458-nucleotide ribosomal RNA is filed under the name uncultured bacterium. RNAcentral describes it as "partial 16S ribosomal RNA". It matches the Rfam family "Bacterial small subunit ribosomal RNA", at positions 338 to 795 of the family's 1533-position model. The record is from RNAcentral.
CCUACGGGGGGCUGCAGUGAGGAAUAUUGGUCAAUGGGCGAGAGCCUGAACCAGCCAAGUCGCGUGAGGGAGUACUGCCCUAUGGGUUGUAAACCUCUUUUGUCGGGGAGCAAAAGCCGGACGUGUCCGGCUGUGAGAGUACCCGAAGAAAAAGCAUCGGCUAACUCCGUGCCCGCAGCCGCGGUAAUACGGAGGAUGCGAGCGGUAUCCGGAUUUAGUGGGGUUAAAGGGUGCGCAGGCGGAUUGUAAAGUCAGCGGUCAAAUCGUGGGGCUCAACCCCAUCCAGCCGUUGAAACUGGGGAUCUAGAGUGUGCGAGAGGUAUGCGGAAUGCGUGGUGUAGCGGUGAAAUGCAGAGAUAUCACGCAGAACCCCGAUUGCGAAGGCAGCAUACCGGUGCACAACUGACGCUCAGGCACGAAAGCGUGGGUAUCGAACAGGAUUAGAUACCCGAGUAGUC